RNAcentral lists this long non-coding RNA (497 nucleotides) under Hordeum vulgare. Its description in RNAcentral is "long non-coding RNA (HVUL_LNC011626)". Lineage: Eukaryota; Viridiplantae; Streptophyta; Magnoliopsida; Poales; Poaceae. The record is from RNAcentral.
UUAUUAUUGUGUUUUUUGUGUUUCUUUUUGCGUUUGUGCCAAGGAAAACCGUUAUGAUUAGUCUUGGGGAUGACCGUUUGAUCAUGCUGGAAAAGACAGAAACUUUCUACUCACGAAAAGAAUUUUCAUUUUUUUCUUCUGUAAGAGCUUUUGAGUUGAUUCUUUUUUCUACUGAUUGCCACGCAAAUUCUUUAGACUGUAGUAAUGUUUCAGAAUUUUGGAAGUAACAGAAGUAUACGAAGUAUACAGAUUGCUACAGACUGGUGUGUUGUUAACAGAUUCUGUUUUUGUUGUGUUUGUUGCUUAUUUUGAUGAAACUAUGGAUAGUAUCGGGGGGUAUUAGCCAUGGAAUAUUGAAAAUACAGUAACCCAACAUCAAAACUAGUAGAAUUUAAGUUUUCUACAGUACCUAAGGAAGUGGUGGUUUGCUUUCUUGUACUAAUGUUAUCACGAGUUUCUGUUUAAGUUUCGUGUUGUGAAGUUUUCAAGUUUUGGGU